This 829-nucleotide ribosomal RNA is filed under the name uncultured soil archaeon. RNAcentral's name for it is "bacterial SSU rRNA". It matches the Rfam family "Archaeal small subunit ribosomal RNA", at positions 21 to 859 of the family's 1478-position model. The record is from RNAcentral.
AGGCCACUGCUAUCGGAGUUCGAUUAAGCCAUGCGAGUCGAGAGGUGUAAGACCUCGGCAUACUGCUCAGUAACACGUGGACAACCUACCCUGAAGAGGGGGAUAACCCCGGGGAACUGGGGAUAAUACCCCAUAGACUAUGGAUGCUGGAAUGCUUUGUAGUUGAAAGGUCCGCCGCUUCAGGAUGGGUCUGCGGCCGAUUAGGUUGUUGUUGGGGUAACGGCCCAACAAGCCUGUAAUCGGUACGGGUUGUGGGAGCAAGAGCCCGGAGAUGGAUUCUGAGACACGAAUCCAGGCCCUACGGGGCGCAGCAGGCGCGAAAACUUUACAAUGCGAGCAAUCGUGAUAAGGGAACUCCGAGUGCCUGUAAAAUCAGGCUGUCCGCCAGUGUAAAUAACUGGUGAAGAAAGGGCCGGGCAAGACCGGUGCCAGCCGCCGCGGUAAUACCGGCGGCUCGAGUGGUGGCCACUAUUACUGGGCUUAAAGCGUUCGUAGCUGGUCUGUUAAGUCUCUGGGGAAAUCUUCCGGCUUAACCGGAAGGCGUCUCAGGGAUACUGGCAGACUAGGACCGGAAGAGGUGAGAGGUACUCCAGGGGUAGGAGUGAAAUCCUGUAAUCCUUGGGGGACCACCUGUGGCGAAGGCGUCUCACCAGGACGGCUCCGACAGUGAGGAACGAAAGCUGGGGGAGCAAACCGGAUUAGAUACCCGGGUAGUCCCAGCUGUAAACGAUGCGCGUUAGGUGUAUCGGUGACCACGAGUCGCCGAGGUGCCGAAGAGAAAUCGUGAAACGCGCCGCCUGGGAAGUACGGUCGCAAGGCUGAAACUUAA